UGCUCACGGUUGGCGGCAAUUGUCUCCCAAGAUACAACGGAUUCGAUUUGUGGUAGUAGCACUUCAAACCACAAAUCCAACGAACUUUCGACGGAGUUUCCCCUCUACAAGGAAACUCAUAUAUGAAAAGAGAUGAAGAAGAAGAGAAUUGCAAUUUUGAGAAGAAUGAAUGCUCAAUAUGCAAAUGGUGUACUCUCAAAGUCAUCCAAGGGGUCCUUUAUAUAGAGAAUGGAGUGGUGUGAUGAAAGGAUUUGAGCCAAACCAUGCAACCUUCCAAACAGGUGCCACUAUUCCAAAA
This 298-nucleotide long non-coding RNA is filed under the name Olea europaea (common olive). RNAcentral's name for it is "long non-coding RNA (OEUR_LNC001865)". Lineage: Eukaryota; Viridiplantae; Streptophyta; Magnoliopsida; Lamiales; Oleaceae. The record is from RNAcentral.